Long non-coding RNA from Tupaia belangeri chinensis (Chinese tree shrew), 241 nucleotides. RefSeq lists it as uncharacterized. The transcript has 3 exons. The record is from RefSeq and is a predicted model, not a curated record. NCBI's taxonomy places the organism in Eukaryota, Metazoa, Chordata, Mammalia, Scandentia, Tupaiidae.
AAACUUCCCAAUUUCUGCCUCAGAGUCUUUCACCAGGACUCAGUGCCAUUGAAAGCUUGGUAGAGAGUCACAUCAUUCCAUUCAAUGGUGGUGAUUUCAUUGUUCUUCAUCCCAGCAAAGGCAUAGAUGAGAAAUGCAGAUUGUGAAUGUGGAGUGUGAAGUCUACUACCUAUGGAAGACGUACCUGGUGAAAUUAUCCCAAAUUCACUCUACACACAACUACACACCCAUCCAGCCUCAC